RNAcentral lists this ribosomal RNA (466 nucleotides) under uncultured bacterium. Its description in RNAcentral is "bacterial SSU rRNA". It matches the Rfam family "Bacterial small subunit ribosomal RNA", at positions 29 to 506 of the family's 1533-position model. The record is from RNAcentral.
AUGAACGCUGGCGGCGUGCCUAAGGCAUGCAAGUCGAACGGAUUUCUUAGAGAUUAUAUCAACAGGGAAUGAGUGGCAAACGGGUGCGUAACACAUUGGUAACCUACCUCGCAGACGUGAAUAAUUCGGCGAAAGCCGGACUAAUACACGAUAUUAUCCCGACGUGAACACGUCAGGAUGAAAUACUCCGGUGCUGCGAGAGGGGCCUAUGUCCUAUCAGCUAGUUGGUGAGGUAAUGGCUCACCAAGGCUAUGACGGGUACCGGGCGUGAGAGCGUGGCCCGGCUCACUGGGACUGAGACACUGCCCAGACACCUACGGGUGGCUGCAGUCAGGAAUAUUCCCCAAUGCACGAAAGUGUGAGGGAGCGACGCCGCGUGCUGGAAGAAGGCCUUCGGGUCGUAAACAGCUUUUAUGAGGGACGAACAAAUGACGGUACCUCAAGAAUAAGUGGUUGCUAACUCUGU